ACGCACGCUGGCGGCGUGCUUAACCCAUGCCCGUCGAACGGAAAGGCCCCUUUGGGGGUACUCGAGUGGCGACCGGGUGAGUAACACGUGAGUAACCUGCCCUUGACUUCGGGAUAACUUCAGGAAACUGGGGCUAAUACCGGAUAGGAAUCCUUGCUGCAUGGUGGGGGUUGGAAAGCUUCGGCGGUUUUGGAUGGACUCGCGGCUUAUCAGCUUGUUGGUGGGGUAGUGGCUUACCAAGGCUUUGACGGGUAGCCGGCCUGAGAGGGCGACCGGCCACAUUGGGACUGAGAUACGGCCCAGACUCCUACGGGAGGCAGCAGUGGGGAAUAUUGCACAAUGGGCGGAAGCCUGAUGCAGCAACGCCGCGUGCGGGAUGACGGCCUUCGGGUUGUAAACCGCUUUCAGCAGGGGCGAAGCUUGUGGUGACGGUACCUGCAGAAGAAGCACCGGCUAACUACGUG
RNAcentral lists this ribosomal RNA (464 nucleotides) under uncultured bacterium. RNAcentral describes it as "partial 16S ribosomal RNA". It matches the Rfam family "Bacterial small subunit ribosomal RNA", at positions 29 to 507 of the family's 1533-position model. The record is from RNAcentral.